RNAcentral lists this ribosomal RNA (449 nucleotides) under uncultured prokaryote. RNAcentral's name for it is "bacterial SSU rRNA". It matches the Rfam family "Bacterial small subunit ribosomal RNA", at positions 355 to 796 of the family's 1533-position model. The record is from RNAcentral.
UGGGGAAUUUUGCGCAAUGGGCGAAAGCCUGACGCAGCGACGCCGCGUGUACGAUGAAGGCCCUUGGGUCGUAAAGUACUGUCAACGGGGACGAAGGUGGCUUGUUGAAUAGGCAGGUCGCGUGACGGUACCCGUGGAGGAAGCACCGGCUAACUCUGUGCCAGCAGCCGCGGUAAUACAGAGGGUGCAAACGUUGCUCGGAAUAACUGGGCGUAAAGCGCGCGCAGGUGGCCUGUUAAGUCGGCUGUGAAAUCCCCUGGCUCAACCAGGGACGUGCAGUCGAUACUGACCGGCUUGAGUCCUGGAGAGGGUGGUAGAAUUCCCAGUGUAGAGGUGAAAUUCGUAGAUAUUGGGAGGAAUACCGGUGGCGAAGGCGACCGCCUGGACGGGUACUGACACUGAGGCGCGAAAGCGUGGGGAGCAAACAGGAUUAGAUACCCCCGUAGUCC